RNAcentral lists this ribosomal RNA (253 nucleotides) under uncultured bacterium. Its description in RNAcentral is "partial 16S ribosomal RNA". It matches the Rfam family "Bacterial small subunit ribosomal RNA", at positions 524 to 776 of the family's 1533-position model. The record is from RNAcentral.
UACGAAGGGGGCUAGUGUUGUUCGGAGUUACUGGGCGUAAAGCGCGUGUAGGCGGUUGUUCAAGUCAGGUGUGAAAGCCUUGAGCUCAACUCAAGAAAUGCACUUGAUACUGGAUGACUAGAGGACCGGAGAGGAUAGUGGAAUUCCCAGUGUAGUGGUGAAAUACGUAGAGAUCCGGAAGAACACCGGUGGCGAAGGCGGUCUGCUGGGCAGUUGCUGACACUGAGGCGCGACAGCGUGGGGAGCAAACAGG